UUUUGGAUGCCUCAGUGUCCACAUCACAGAGGAUCUGACCUUAGUGAAGAAGGCACAGUAACAUCUGUACAAUCUCAGAAACCUCAAGUAUUCCAGGCUGCUUUCCAGAUACUAAAGAACUUCUUCACAUCAACCAUUGAAAGUGUUUUGACAAGAAGUAUCACUGACUGAUUUGGAAAAAGCACACAGCAGUUGCGCGAGGCUUUGAAGAGAGUGGUGUGGUCAGCUUAACACAUCACAAGGUGUGCACUCACUAACCUCCAGGACAUCUACACUGAGUGAUGUCAAACCAGGGCAAGGAAAAGUAUCCAUGACACUGGCCAUCACAACAAUGGCCUCUUUUCCAUUCCGCUAUCAGCUCCAGCAACAGGUCAGGUCAUUUACAGUAAGAUGCCCAGGAGGAAGAGGGCAUCCAGAUGAUUAAACUAACUGCAAGUUUAAGACUUUGCUUAUUCUACAGGACCAUGGAACCCCCAAAGACCAUCCAAGGGAAAUCCCACCUGAACUUGGUGACAUCACUUCCAGUUCCAGCCCUAAUGAUGUCACUUCCUCCAACACAUCUAUAUAAACACCAUCUUGCCACAAUUAGAGCAGUUCUGUUUUGAAAUCAGUCUGAAAGACUUGUGAUUGCUGACAUUUUUACAUUUUCCUCAAGUAUAUUGAGUGGCCACCCCAAACCUUUUUCUGUUUCCCUCCUGUCUUUUCACAACAGUUUGUCCUAUGUUUGUCAUAUUAUGAUUUUCUUGCAAAU
This is a long non-coding RNA of Polypterus senegalus (gray bichir), 751 nucleotides long. RefSeq lists it as uncharacterized. The transcript is spliced from 3 exons. The record is from RefSeq and is a predicted model, not a curated record. Lineage: Eukaryota; Metazoa; Chordata; Cladistia; Polypteriformes; Polypteridae.